AAAAGCUGACAAGUAGCUGUGAAGUCCCAAGAUAAACUGCGGUUGAAAAGUUAAUUGUUUACCAAACUCUCAUGUGUUCGACUUGCCUGUUAUCAUUAAAGACAUUAAGGAAUACUAUAGAAAUUGACCUGUGUUCAGACACGUCACUCCUAUAAACCACCUGUUGAAUUUCUUGUUUGUCAGCCAAAGCACAAUCAUUGUUUGCUCAGAACUGUGUAUAGUAGUGGUAUUUACAGCCGGUUGGGUGACAGCAAAAGUAAAUAACUACGUUUCAUUAGUUUCCUGUUUCCUUCUUGAUCCUUCACAAGGGAAGAUUUCCUUUUUUUAGAGGUAUAGAUUCCCCUUGGUCAAGUCCUGAUUAACACUCCAGCUAAGAGAUUAGUAAACCUUGGUUAGUGAAGUGGCAUCAGGAAGCGCCUACAUUUUCACGGCCUGGUAGCGUUCAGUGAAAAUGUUUGUUAACAGACACAGGCCAUUCAGUCCGGAAUCCCAAGACACUGAAGACUCUGUCUGAAUCGGACUCACGGGUUCCUUCCUAGCCACUCUCAGGAACAGGAAUGCUUCUGGUGAAGAAGUUUUUGGUGGCAGUUCAUGGAGCUUCCCUAUACCAACUUGGAAAUGGCAUUCAUUUUAUUGGCUUUUGUUAUCUUUUCCUUAUUUACCCUGGCUUCCAUCUACACUACUCCGGAUGACAGUAAUGAAGAUAAGGAAAAUGAAAUUCCCAGAAGCAAUGUGCCCAAGGAGAGGAAGAGGCAGGAAGAGCUCGAUGAGCAUGAUCAUGACCCAGGUUCUCCAUCCACAUGCCUGAGACAGGGAGGAAGAACAUGAAAUAAAGGGAAGAGAGAAGAAAAGGAAAAAGUUUGAAGAGAAGAAAAAUUGCUCGGAGGAAGAGCAUAGAAUUGAAGCUGUUGAGCUAUGAUCUCAUAGCCACCAAUAUUUCUCGCUAAGAAGACAGAGAAAGCAAUCCAUGGGAGUUACUUAUCCACAGUAAACAAGAAGCAGGGAUAAUGACGAAAGUUAAAAUCACUUACUGAUUAAACACGAUGAUAAUAACCAUUAAUAAACGCAAUACUUGGGAAAGGUACUUCACAACAUUUCUGGGACUCAGCAUUAUCCAAAAUAUCUAUUCAGAGCUAUACACCAUUCUAGCUGCAAUGGAUUGUACCAAAAAAAAAAAAAAAAAA
Cercocebus atys (sooty mangabey) is the source of this 1184-nucleotide long non-coding RNA. RefSeq lists it as uncharacterized. NCBI's taxonomy places the organism in Eukaryota, Metazoa, Chordata, Mammalia, Primates, Cercopithecidae. The transcript has 4 exons. The record is from RefSeq and is a predicted model, not a curated record.